AUUGACCCUCAAAGUUUAUCAACCAAAAGUGGAGUCAGGAGAAAGUCACAGAGAAGAGAUGCUGAACCUAGAAAUGGGGCACCUAUUGUGCCUGCCUCGCAUGAUGGAGAAAUUGCUGGAAUCGACUGAAUACCAGUGACAAUGGGAGGGGAAAUGUCGGGGAGAUGUGGACCCUGGGGAGUCCCCACAGACUAUCUGGCAAUAUCUGUGGCCUGCUAACUGCUGGCUUCAAGGACAUUUAUCAGUGAGCAGGAGGACCCCUGAAUUAGAGAGAUGCUUAGGUGUGGCACUGGUGUUGUGGGAGGAAGUGCCGAGAAGCCCAUUGACACGGUGCUGCCCCAGGACUUCAGAGACUCUUCAAUCCAUCCUCCAUGCUGCCUCCAGCCCCAUGACCUCAGCAAUGUAUCACUGCUGUGCUCCCUUUCCCAAGACCCCCAAGCAGCCAGAUGUAGCCUGAUUCAUUACAUGUAUGCAUACAGGUGUCAAUCUAAAAUAGUCAAAAGGGCCAGAAUCUAGUUUAAGGAGAGUUUAUUCAAGUGCAAGGUUUAAGUCCAGCCAUCCAGGAAGCACAGAUUCCAAAGAAUGGAAGUCAGUGUUCUGAAGUAUAGAAGUUUGGGACCAUGUAUAUAGAUAAAGUUUAUGGAAGCUUACCAGAAUUUCAACAUCUUUAGGCUUUAAUGCAUAGUUACAAUGGUCUGAUUAGUCGAGGUGGUCUUUUUCUUUCAAGAAAGGUGUAUUUGGCCAGGCAUAGUGGCUCAUGCCUGUAAUCCUAGCACUUUGGGAGGCCA
This 788-nucleotide long non-coding RNA is filed under the name Homo sapiens (human). Its description in RNAcentral is "HSALNT0274179". The record is from RNAcentral. Lineage: Eukaryota; Metazoa; Chordata; Mammalia; Primates; Hominidae.